UAGGGAAUCUUCCACAAUGGGCGAAAGCCUGAUGGAGCAACGCCGCGUGUGUGAUGAAGGCUUUCGGGUCGUAAAGCACUGUUGUAUGGGAAGAACAGCUAGAAUAGGAAAUGAUUUUAGUUUGACGGCACCAUACCAGAAAGGGACGGCUAAAUACGUACCAG
This 164-nucleotide ribosomal RNA is filed under the name uncultured bacterium. RNAcentral describes it as "partial 16S ribosomal RNA". It matches the Rfam family "Bacterial small subunit ribosomal RNA", at positions 355 to 511 of the family's 1533-position model. The record is from RNAcentral.